Molecule: unclassified non-coding RNA, 296 nt
Filed under: uncultured Helotiales
Lineage: Eukaryota; Fungi; Ascomycota; Leotiomycetes; Helotiales
Description: sequence contains ITS1
Rfam family: 5.8S ribosomal RNA (bases 1-105)
Source: RNAcentral
GAAAUGCGAUAAGUAAUGCGAAUUGCAGAAUUCAGCGAGUCAUUGAAUUUUUGAACGCACAUUGCGCCCUGUGGUAUUCCGCAGGGCAUGCCUGUUCGAGCGUCAGUACAACCCUCAAGCUUUAGCUUGGUCUUGAGCCCCGCCAGUAACUCGGCAGGCUUUAAAAUUAGUGGCGGCGCCAUUAGGCUCUUAGCGUAGUAAUACUUCUCGCUAUUGAGACCUUGUGGUAUGCUGGCCAGCAACCCCAACUUUCUAAGUUUGACCUCGGAUCAGGUAGGGAUACCCGCUGAACUUAA